UUAGCCCCGAUUGAAACGGAAAUCCUUAUCUGCCGGGGUUCGGCAUAAAAGAUUGAAGAGCAAAGCGGGACAA
RNAcentral lists this small RNA (73 nucleotides) under uncultured Flavobacterium sp. RNAcentral's name for it is "Flavo-1 RNA". It matches the Rfam family "Flavo-1 RNA". The record is from RNAcentral. Lineage: Bacteria; Pseudomonadati; Bacteroidota; Flavobacteriia; Flavobacteriales; Flavobacteriaceae.